This 481-nucleotide ribosomal RNA is filed under the name uncultured bacterium. RNAcentral describes it as "partial 16S ribosomal RNA". It matches the Rfam family "Bacterial small subunit ribosomal RNA", at positions 28 to 523 of the family's 1533-position model. The record is from RNAcentral.
GACGAACGCUGGCGGCGUGCUUAACACAUGCAAGUCGAACGAUGAAGGAGAGCUUGCUCUCCGGAUUAGUGGCGAACGGGUGAGUAACACGUGACUAACCUGCCCCUUUCUCUGGGAUAACGCUCCGAAAGGAGUGCUAAUACCGGAUACGAACUCUGAACACAUGUUCGGAGUUGGAAAGUUUUUCGGAAAGGGAUGGAGUCGCGGCCUAUCGGCUUGUUGGUGAGGUAAUGGCUCACCAAGGCGACGACGGGUAGCCGGCCUGAGAGGGCGACCGGCCACACUGGGACUGAGACACGGCCCAGACUCCUACGGGAGGCAGCAGUGGGGAAUAUUGCACAAUGGGCGCAAGCCUGAUGCAGCAACGCCGCGUGAGGGAUGACGGCCUUCGGGUUGUAAACCUCUUUUAGUAGGGAAGAAGCGAAAGUGACGGUACCUGCAGAAAAAGCACCGGCUAACUACGUGCCAGCCGCCGCCGUAA